This is a long non-coding RNA of Lagopus muta (rock ptarmigan), 8748 nucleotides long. RefSeq lists it as uncharacterized. The record is from RefSeq and is a predicted model, not a curated record. The transcript is spliced from 4 exons. Lineage: Eukaryota; Metazoa; Chordata; Aves; Galliformes; Phasianidae.
UGAAUUCUUUGGAGUGUUCUCAGGGGCUCCCGGAGAUGACAUGGCAGUGAAAAAGAAGCAAGCAAACAGGAGCACAGUACCGGUCAAGUGAAGCCUCCAGUUAGCAAGCAGCUUCGCCGAUGUGCAUCUUCACUGAUAUAGAACAAAGACGGGUGCUAGAAGCCUGCUUUUUCAAAGCAGUAACACAGCAGCUAACAGUUUUCAAUGGGUCCCUCGUACACAGCUGCAUGCACAUUGAUGCUCCAACUCCCUGCCUUUGCAGAACCUGAACGCAAGCUUGCAGCAGCUGUGGCACACCAGAAUGCAUGCAUGUAUUUGGGAAGAUACCACACGCAGCUGAAUAAAGGGGUGGCUGGAAGGGGAAGUGCUUCCCACUGGGUUACAAUUCCUUGGCAUGCAGUUACAGUGUGCACUUGUUUCACAGAGAGUUGGAAUCACUUGAAUGCGUUUAGAAACAAGGAAAAGGGAAGGGAAGGAUAUGAAUUUUUUUAAUUGGAAAAUAUUCAUAUGGAUCUCCCCUCAAAGUACUUUUACUUAACAUGGCUCAGCUCAGAUACCCCACAAACCAGAUUACAUACUAUUCUCACUUCACGUAUAAAAUACUGAAAAACUUGAAGGCAAUUUUUUAACACGUUAGCAGUCUUCUCUUCUGAAAACUGAAUUUUCUGCAUCACACAUCAGAAUUGUCAUCAAAAAUGCAGAUGUGUAUGCAGUUACAAAAUUAUAAAAGCAGCACAUCGCCAAGAACCUUUGGUCGUGGUGAUGCUACAGUUACACAACACCGUUUUUGUGUUUCAGAAAUUGUGAGACGUCGCUCAGAAUUUGGCACACGCUACUCCUUCCGGUUAGGAGCGUUCCCAGUGCUGCUGGAAACCACGACAGACAAUGUGAUUGCUUUCUCUCUUACUUAAAAAUAACACAUUUCAAAAAGCUUCUGAUUACAAUUUUCAAAAUAGAGUGCAGAUGAAAAGAAGUUAUGAAACACUACUUCUCAAAUCUUCCUGAUUAGAGGGAAAAAAUCCCAGGACUACAUGGGCCUAUGAAAUUAGUUUAUUUCGCUGGUGAAAAUAACACCAAAUAUAUUUAUGAGGAAGAUUAAAAGAAAAACAUAAUCACAAGAAAAUCCUGCCAGCAGUCCGGACUUCAGUAAUGAAAGAAUGAAUUCCACUUAGCACUGCAAACAUAACAGGCAUUUUUUUUUCCCCCUCCACAUCAGUCUUUUAAGCAUUAUAGACAACCCAAGUAGUACACCUUUAAAUGUUUUAUUUUCUACAGAAACUGGGUAUGACAGGGCUUUUGUUCCCAUGAAAUUUUUUCCCAUUACCUAAAUGGCUCUCCAUUCAUCUUAUUCUCUAUUGUUCACUCAAUCUCUCUUGCUUUAUUAAAACAUUGGCCCCUCUACUCCUUACAGAUUCAGCAAGGCUGACUCCAAUCCAGAGCCAAAUUCUGCUGAAGCAGGAGUUGUACGUGUACAUCCAGGAGCCGUCUUAUUUCUAGCUGCAAUGAUGUCAAAACUGUUGUGGAGUAUCUGAUCCCUGAAAGGGCUUUGCACUUAGUUUAAGACUAGAAUACAAAAGUGAAAUUUGAGGACAAAAAUGGAAGCUACAUAAAUACAUCAAAAUUAAAAUUUGUUGGGUGAAUAAGCUAGCAACAUAAAGUAACAUAGGAUGGAAGAGCUUAAGUGCUACAUAAAAAACCCACCCAAAACAAACAAUAAAAACCACAAGAGUCUCUAAAAAUACAUGGAAAUGAAAGAGAAUUAUAAAGAACAGAAGUAUCCCUCCUUUCUCCCCAGUCAUAAUUAGGAUGAAAAAGCUGACAAAGACAAGGUUUCUGAAGUAUCUGGAACACUACUAUUGUAUGGAUAUUACUUCAUUGUCUGAAUACUACUUUCAGGUGACAGCCAUCAUAUAGAAGCCUGAAAUCUAGUCAAGGAAAUACAUCGAAAACAAACAGCACUAUCAAAUUUGCAGCACACAAAAUCUCAUUAUAAGCAAAAUUCACAAUAAGCAAAAAGAAAAAAAGCAUUUAAAGCAGUAAAACAAAGGUAGCUUGAGGCGGAAUAAGUGACCAGAACAAAAGCAAUCUUUAAUAAGCGGAGUUGCAAGAACACACAAUAUUUACUCCAAGGAUGGAUGAUGAACUGGUUUGUCCAUAAAUAAUCUGAUAUCUGCCUAGUGUCCUUCUCUAAGUAUUAGAUUUCCUUCAGAAAUCCUUCUCUCUAUUUACAGCUUUAAACUUCCAUAUCCAUUUCCAAUGUCAUAUAUUACAAGCUUAAAAUUGGGUGCCAUUUCAUGAGCAACUAAGGCCCACCAAAGCUUGUAUUGCCAUGGCAAAGGAAGCCCUGUUGUUCCCUCAUUAACUGAAAAUGUUAAAAUGAUAGGGGAAAAUAAUUUUCAGCCUGACAUCCAGUUGACUGCGUAGCCCCUUUCUCACUAAGACAUAAAGGGAAAUAAUGUUUUUAUAGCGAUUCCAGCUAAACACGUAGAGAAUAUUUUUCCUACAGUGCACAGAGCUUACAAGUAGAUAGAUCUCUGAUCUACACAGUUUUAAAAAGUGUCCUGAGAAUUAAACAGAUACGAGAGUUUGCAGAUGAGAAAACACAACGGGCAAAUCAAAUGCAAUGUACCUAUAAGGACGCUUGAUCAUUUUCCUUUUCCAUCUGUCUUAUCCUAUUACAGCAUGAUGGAAGACUUAAGUAGUUAAACUCAUUUGCCUUUCACUCAAGAAUUGUCUAGAGGUGACCAAGUCUCAAGUUGUUCAAUUCUCCAGAGAAUAUUUGUUAUAUGUGGGAGUCUUGGUCAAUUCUUGUAACAAACAAUACAAAAUAUCUAAAGUUACAAGGCUUGAUGGAAUAGGAAAGAAGUUGGUAAUAUAUGUUAAAUUCCCAAAAUAUUUUCAGCAAAAUAACACAAAAUAAUGGAAAAAAAAUCCAAAGCCUGAAUAUUUUGGAAAAAAAUUUAACUCCAUCUUAGCUUUAUGACAAUAGAAUGAAGCAACUGUUCUAAAGAUCUGAGACAGUCAACAUGGCCUCACCAAAAGCAGAUUGUGCCUGAUCAACCUGGUGGCCUUCCAUGAUGGAGUGACAGCAUCACUGGACAAAGGGAGGGCAACUGAUGUCAUCUACUUGGACUUGUGUGGGACCGUGUCAAAGGCCUUGCACCAUACUGUUAUUUCUUAGUUGGAGAGACAUGGGUUCAAAGAGUGGAAUAUUUGGUGGAGAAGAAACUGCUUGGAAAGUUGCAGCCAUGGGGUUGUGGUAAAUGGCUCCAUGUUCUGGUGGAGGUCAGUAACAAGUGGUGUCCCCCAGGGAUCCAUCUUGGAUCCCACUGUCUGUGUACCCUUAGCAAGUUUGCUGACAAUGCCAAAAUGUGGAGUUUCUUUGAGAAGGUCCAGAGGAGGGUCACGAAGAUGACCAGAGAGCUGGAGCACUUCUUCUACAAAGACAGGAUAAAGGAGCUGGGCUUGUUCAGCGUGGACAAGGGAAGGGCCCAAGGAGACCUCACUGUGGUUCUCCAGUACUUGAAGGAAGCUCAUAAACAGGAGGGAAAUCAAUUUUUUAUAGGGUAGAUAGUGACAGGACAAGAGGGAAGAGUUUUAAACUAAAAGAGGAGAGAUUUAGAUGAGGUAUCAGGAGGAAAUUCUUCCCUCAGAGAGUAAUGAGGUGCUAGAACAGGCUGCCCAGUGAAGUUGCGGAUGCCCCAUCCCUGGAGGUGUCCAAGGCUGGGUUGGAUGGGGUCCUGGGCAGUCUCAUCUAAUAGGUGCUAAUCAUGCCCACAGCAGAGGGGUUGGAACUAAAUGAUCUUUGAGGUCCAUUCCAACCCAAACCAUUCUGUGAUUCUGUGUUUUCUGGUAUGACAGAAUAAAAUUCGUCCUCCUUUACAUCGGUGCUACAUUUAUUUUUUUUUUCAAAUCAUAAUCAGUUAAAUAAAGUCUAAAAUAAUCAAAAAACACUCAAGAAGCACCAAUAGCAGAAGCACAGCCCAUCUCCCAUAGCAUGCUUCGGAAGCUGGACGCAAACAUAUAAGACAUAUACUUACUUGAACAGGGAAGGGGGGUGAUUGAAAUAUAAAAUUCCACAAUACAACAGUAUAUCAUUAUUAUCUAAGUUGGUUAUGGGCAUAAUUUGUCAAUAAGAAGUUCUUCAUAGUAAAAAAAUACAAUGAGUGUGAAAGGUUUGAGGGCAAUAUAAUUGGAAACAUCGAAGGGAAUGGACUCUAUGCAGUCGGUAUAAUUUUCUACCAUAGUAUCACCUGCUCUUGCUCAGAAGUGUGGGGGAUGGUGUGCUGAUGAUUACAGCACUACUUCCUCCUUGAAAGAAUGAACUGUGUCAACCACAGGCUGUAAAGAACUCCACUGUACAUUACUCAUGCAUCUGCAAGAGUAUAUGAGGACUAGCGAGAAGUUGGUUUUUGACAGCUAUCAAAAUACAGUGUACAAAAAAUGAUCCCUGGGCUAGAAGAAAAAAUAAAAAAAUAUUUUUUUUUUAAUUUGAAACACUGUAGAGGAGAGUCUAUUAAAUAAAAAGGGUGGAGAAAACUGCAAGUUCAACAGAAGCAUCUUAGAUAAUACAGAGCAAUGACAUAAGAUUUGCAUCUCCAUUGUGACCCAAUACUUUAAACUGAUAGAAGAGGAAAACAAACGAGAAAAACACAGCUUGUCUCUUUACCAUUCUCUUUUUCAGAAAGAGUAUUUUGACAAAGCUUUUAAAAUUAUCAGGACUUGUUUGAGAGGGAUCUCUGAUGCAAAGAGCUGGAAAUAUAUUCUGUUGUACUGUAAACAGAAGUGCUGGAAACGAUUGUAUGACCAGCUUCCAUGAGCCUGAAUGAAACUAAUCCUGUUAAAGCUUAUAAAUACACAUGACUCAGUAGCUAAAGCCACAUGCAUAUCUGCCCUUACAAAGUUUCUGACACCUUUCAUUGUCAAAAAGUGAUGAGUUGCUGAUUUUAAAUAGCUUAAAUUGCUUACUUUUCUUUCCAGAAACAUAACUCAAAACAUUUCACCCUAAGCCCCUUGCUUAUUUUUAUUUAAUAAAUGGGACUUUUGCAAGUUAUUCUAAAACCUGUCAUGUGUAGAGUUCCCACGUGGAUGAAGCCUGAAUUAAACUCAGCAACGUAAAUUAUUACCACUGUGCAGUGUUCUGCUUUUACUGCUUUAAUCUUCUCCUUCCCUCCCCCCACCUCCCAUUAUCUACUUCAUUGCUCUGCUUCACUAAAACAGGUUUACAGUAUUCUCUGAACAUCUACUGGUCCUGGAUGCACUGGGACAGAAACAACGUUCACAUUAAAAAAGAAAAAAUGCCAAAACAUAAAUUGUAUCAUGUCCCUGAAAGGACAGCCCAAAGAUUUCAAAUCUCAGUGCAGUUAUAUGACUGCAGUCAAUUCCAAGAAUAAAGAAAAAUAACAACGCAUUUGCUAUUUAACUUCUAAUUUCUCAACUGUAAAAUUGAAAAUUAUACACUCCUUUCUGAAAUCAAAAAGUAAAAGGCAUCAAAUACCAAAAACAAUUGCACACACAAAUACUGUCUACAACGAGGUCUAAUCUUGCAGGAAAUUGCCAAAAUCCCCAGCAGAACACUUUUUUAAGCAUCCAGAACAGGGCAGCACAGGGCAUAAUCCAGCUCCUGAAAAUGGUUCUGUGUACACUGAAAUGGAUGAGAGCUAGGAAGAAACUUGCAAGCUACUUCAAAUGUCAUACCCAAUGUUUUCACCCAUAAAUCCAUCAUCUCUGACAGGAAAGCUCUUAUGUAACAUAACUUAUUACAAAAAGAAACAGUAUAGGCUUUGAGAUAUUUUGUUACAGUGCAUAUCCACACUUUGGAUAGGUCAGUGCUGCAGCAGUUACAAUGGAGACACCAGCCACUCCCUGCCUUUUUCAAAGAUGCUUCAUACAAGAAGCAGGAAAGCCUCUAACCUUCACUUUCUCAGUGUCAUAGGUAAUAAAUAAUGUAUUAUGCUUACAUUUUAAUAGAAACCCCUGAGGCUGAAAUAAAAGAGACUGGAGGGUUUUGCCCUGAUACUCAACUCCACAGGUACAGCCAACAGCAAAGGAGAACAUCUGACCCUGUAAAUAGUCUUAAGGCAAAAGGAAGAAAAGCAUAAUAAAAAUCCACUUCUCAGGAUGUUUAAGAGUACAGUCUGUUACACGAAUGCAAACAAAUAUAGAAACAGAUUCUAAAAUAGUAUAUUUGUUGCCAAAUAUAAAAAUCAUGAUCAGAGGGCUGGAGUACCUCUCCUAUGAAGAAAGGUUUAGGGAACUGGGCUUGUUUAGCUUGGAGAAGGCUCAGGGGAGACCUCGUUGUGGCCUUUUAGAUCUUGAAGGGAGCGUAUAAACAGGAGGGGGAACGGCUGUUUACAAGGGUGGAUAGUGAUAGGAAGAGGGAGAAUGGUAUUAAACUGAGACAGGGGGGGUUUAGGUUGGAUAUCAGGAGGGAGUUUUUCACACGAAGGGUGGUGACAUAUUGGAACAGGUUGCCCAAGGAGGCUGUGGAUGCCCCAUCCCUGGAGGCAUUCAAGACCAGGCUGGAUGUGGCUCUGGGCAGCCUGGCCUGCUGGUUGGUGACCUGCACAUAGCAGGGGGUUGGAACUGGAUGAGCACUGUGGUCCUUUUCAACCCAGGCCAUUCUGUGAUUCUGUGAGAUCAUUCCUAAUUUCUUAACAUAUUAUUAUAUGCUUGUUUCACACUACUUAACAACAUCAACUUCUAACUGGACAUCUUUUCAGCACUGGCCUGGAAGAAAUCCAAAGUCCACUCCCUCCAUAAUGAAAGCAUUUCAAAUUAUUCUAUGGGAACUGCUGAGUCUCAGCCUGAACCUCUGAUUGACCACCUGAGGCGAGCACUGAGUCAGCCACAGGAGCACAGGUGAAGGCAAUUCAGCUGUGUGCCGGAAGGGGGGGAGCCUGGCUGCACCUCUCCUAGACCUAUUUAAGAGCUGGCUGCCAGUAGGGAAGGAUCUCUGCUGGAGAUCUGCUCUGCUGGAGUUUUGUGAGUGAGCCCAGGAUAGGGGCUGAUCAAUGUGAUCUGGUCACAAACGUAUGGAAAACUGAAAAUCCCAAACAGGAUCCAAUUAAUAAAGACUCCAAGUUACUGAAGAGGAGAAAAGGAAACCUGUUAACUAAGAGGGAGAAGAACAAUAACAUAAAUGCUAAAUCAGACACAUACAACUUCUGUGGGAAGCCUUUCAGAUUCACAGAUGAGAUACACUCUUAUUAGAGUCAUUUUGCUUUCCACGGGAAGACUGCCUAGAGAUCAAGAAAAACACAGAAAUGACAUUAACUGCUUUACUGACACCAGUUAUGAGAUUGUGCUUCUGCACAGCUUUGCAUGGAACAGCACGUGGGAGCAGGUAACAGGAACUGGCACUGCUUGCAGGGUCUGUGCAAUUCUGUAUGGUUGCUCACCUUCGAACUCAUCACCUCUGGCUUUUCCUCAUACUUCAAAUGCAGGCUUGCCCUGAAGCAACUGGAGAGCUGUAAGCGUGGUAGGAGCUCAGCUAACACAGUACAAGCUCUCUGUCCUUUUUUCUUGCUUGAAGAAGAGCAGGACCUCUGCCCUGCUUGGGAAUUUUCUGAGGGCCGUUUCCAGAAGGUGUAAUUUGCAGCAUUAAAACUGAUGAGCCAGGUAAAUGGCUCAGAGACCUGCUGCUCUCCUGCCUGCUUGAACCUGCCUUCCUGAACUGCAUUGCUGGUGCUUAGUUGCUGACUCUGGCUGUCUGAUCAAUUCCCAUAAAUAUAUGUUAGCCAGUAAUACAUUGCUAUAGCAAAUGAAAAAUACACAGACCAGAGGAGCAUCUGUUAUACUUCUGUUCAAUACUCUGUAACAAGAUUGAUGAUCCUUCCAGCUCCCAGUCCUGCUCCUGUACGUUCACUGCUAAUAUGAUCAGGAGCAGCUCUCCAUUCAGUAAACCCCACAAACACGCGUCCCUGAGUGGCUUGUUCCCUGCAGGAUGGCGAUGACCUUGCAGGCUGUCUCACACCCCUAGCUCAGGAUGGACUUGCUGUCCUCUGCAAGGGGGAAGAACUCACACAGCUGCAGAGCUGCGGGUAGCAAGAUGCUACCGAUGUGCACCAGCUGGCCAGCAGGCUGGAACAAACAGUGUACAUUGCUGCCCCUGGUUGCGCACGCAUCGAGCUCCCCUAGCUUAUCUGUUAAUUGCUUUGACCUUUUUGUUUACUUCCUGCUCAGGAAUCUCAGAACUUGCUGCACUAAAAAUGUCUUCUGGAUUGCAGCACCAAGCAAACAUUGACUUAACCUUUUCCGUUACUCCAAGUCAAUAUUUCCAGCCUAUUCAUAUGCAUGUCUUAUCGCACUGGAUAAAGCAGGGUUGUGUUUGAAGCUAACGCUCUUUUAUUUAUAUGGCAGUAUUGUACUGUGCAGGCACAUGAAGAACCACAUGAAUGUCUUUAAUAAAAAGCUUAACCCUUAUCAAACAAAGAGCACGCAUCCAUGGAGUGCCAGCACAGCACAGCUCCCAUUCCAAAAGACUUUCCACUCAUCACCAGCUUUGCACUCCACAAUCUCUUAUAACUCAGAGCACCAGGCAUUGCCAGCAACAACCCCUGCUUGUUCCCAGUUACAGCAAACAGGAAGAGCAAGUUAUUUUAAGUGAGUUGUGUUUACAGCUCAGCCUUCACUCGUGGGUUGCAUAAAUUGGUGGUUGAUCCAAGGGCAGUCCCAGGUUGACCAUUAAGCACUUCAGGACUGUCGACAUGCAGCAGUGAGCAGUGCCAUGGAAAAUAUCAAGAUCAA